Molecule: long non-coding RNA, 1466 nt
Organism: Astatotilapia calliptera (eastern happy)
Lineage: Eukaryota; Metazoa; Chordata; Actinopteri; Cichliformes; Cichlidae
Source: Ensembl
AAACUUAACUACUUCCUCAUAUUUUCACGUAGAACAACCAUUCAAACUUUAAAAUGUUCUCAAAUUAUUGGGCUAUUCAGGUAUGAUUCAGCUUUUUCAAAUCUUUUACCUUUAUGCCUCUUAAAGUUUUCAGUUGCAAAAUUGUGAUUUUUCACAAAAUACAUGCGUUGUUAUGGUUGCUAUGCACUUGGCUUCCAGUGUGCCACUGAAGGUUUUGCAGUCUUCUCUUCAUGUCCGAACAACUUGUUGCUACUUGCUCAAUCUUCACUCAACUUCCACAAAUUAUACAUCAAAACGUAGGUAUUUUUGCUGGGUUUCCGAAAAUGGUCAUUUGUUUGAGGGGAGUCGUCAUUAUGAGAAAUAGACUGCAAAAAUCCUGUGUCUCUCUGUGCUGCAUGCACCUGUUUUGGCGGGAAAAAGUGCACAGGCUCUCUGAUUGGUGGAUUCAAAUUCAGCAGCUCCAAGGCUGCUUGACUGAGCUAGAAACUUACUUCUCUGUGUGUGUGUGUGUGUGAGUGUGUGUGUGUGUGAGAGAGAGAGAGAGAGAGAGAGAGAGCCUUUUUAUGGGAUGAUCUCAUUGUAAGAUUCAAAUUCAAUAUAUUUAGACUGGUUGACUGAAUUGGAUCUUGUGUGUGUCUCUCUCUGUGCAUGUGUGUUUCCAUAUGUGUCCAUAUUUGUGAUUGUGUGGCUGUUAUAUUUUUUUUUUGCCAAUUUUUUUCAUUUAACAAGUAUAUUUGAGGGACCCUCAGCAUGUUCAGCAUUUUUUCAGCUGUCCAUUUUGCUUUUCCAAUUUUUCUGUUUAAGUUAUUACUAUUGUGCUAAAUCAUACUAUUUCUGCUAUUUUAUAAGAUUUGUGCUAAAUAUAGUAUUUCUGUCAAAUUAUAGUAUUUGUGCUAAAACAUAGUAUUGAUUUAAAAUUACAAUAUUCAUAGUUCAUCACAGUGUCUCUGGUAAAUCACAAUAUUUCUGCUCUGUUGUACUAUUUUUCUAAAUCAUAGUGUUUCUGUAAUGUUUAAGUAUUUUUGGCUAAAUAUAUUCUUUCUGUUAUCUUAUACUAUUUCUCCUAAAUACUUGUAUUUUUGAGAAGUUAUCAUGUUUCUGGUAAGUUACAAUAUUUCUGCUAAGUUCUGCUAUGCUAUUAUAUUUCUGCCAAGUAUUAUGUUUCCUCUAAGAUAUUGCAGUUCUGCUAAGUUAUUCCAUUUUAGCAAAGUUCCUUUGCUUCUGCAAAGUUUGUACAAUUUCUGCAACUUUUCAGCUUUUUCAGCUAGUUUUUGCAUACAGCUUCAGCUUUAAAGCAUCCACACUGCAUUUUCGCAGGAAAUGCAAAUCUUUCUAGUUCUAAUUGUAAUUAUGAACUAUGUGCAGAUAUUCUUGAUGCCAUUACAACUGCUGAGCAGUACAGGCAAUGUUUAAAUCGCCACACCUCACUGGAAGUGUUUUAUUUGUGUUUUCUUUUAAGUGCUUCA